UACGAAGGGGGGCUAGCGUUGCUCGGAAUCACUGGGCGUAAAGGGUGCGUAGGCGGGUCUUUAAGUCAGGGGUGAAAUCCUGGAGCUCAACUCCAGAACUGCCUUUGAUACUGAAGAUCUUGAGUUCGGGAGAGGUGAGUGGAACUGCGAGUGUAGAGGUGAAAAUUUCGUAGAUAUUCGCAAGAACACCAGUGGGCGAAGGGCGCUCACUGGCCCGAUACUGACGCUGAUGCACGAAAAGCGUGGGGGAGCAAACAGG
Molecule: ribosomal RNA, 259 nt
Filed under: uncultured bacterium
Lineage: Bacteria
Description: partial 16S ribosomal RNA
Rfam family: Bacterial small subunit ribosomal RNA
Source: RNAcentral